CUGCGAAAGCCGGAUUAAUACCGCAUACGCUCUGUGGAGGAAAGCGGGGGAUCUUCGGACCUCGCGCUCAAGGGGCGGCCGAUGGCAGAUUAGCUAGUUGGUGGGGUAAAGGCCUACCAAGGCGACGAUCUGUAGCUGGUCUGAGAGGACGACCAGCCACACUGGGACUGAGACACGGCCCAGACUCCUACGGGAGGCAGCGGUGGGGAAUUUUGGACAAUGGGGGCAACCCUGAUCCAGCAAUGCCGCGUGUGUGAGGAAGGCCUUCGGGUUGUAAAGCACUUUUGUCCGGAAAGAAAACCGCUUCUCUAAUACAGAGGCGGGAUGACGGUACCGGAAGAAUAAGCACCGGCUAACUACGUGCCAGCAGCCGCGGUAAUACGUAGGGUGCAAGCGUUAAUCGGAAUUACUGGGCGUAAAGCGUGCGCAGGCGGUUCGCUAAGACCGAUGUGAAAUCCCCGGGCUUAACCUGGGAACUGCAUUGGUGACUGGCGAGCUAGAGUAUGGCA
Molecule: ribosomal RNA, 509 nt
Filed under: uncultured Burkholderia sp.
Lineage: Bacteria; Pseudomonadati; Pseudomonadota; Betaproteobacteria; Burkholderiales; Burkholderiaceae
Description: bacterial SSU rRNA
Rfam family: Bacterial small subunit ribosomal RNA
Source: RNAcentral